AUUGAACGCUGGCGGCAGGCCUAACACAUGCAAGUCGAGCGGAUGAAGGGAGCUUGCUCCUGGAUUCAGCGGCGGACGGGUGAGUAAUUCCUAGGAAUCUGCCUUGUCGUGGGGGAUAACGUCCGUAAACGGGCGCUAAUACCGCAUACGUCCUGAUGUAGAAAGUGGGGGAUCUUCGGACCUCACGCUAUCAGAUGAGCCUAGGUCGGAUUAGCUAGUUGGUGUGGUAAAGGCCUACCAAGGCGACGAUCCGUAACUGGUCUGAGAGGAUGAUCAGUCACACUGGAACUGAGACACGGUCCAGACUCCUACGGGAGGCAGCAGUAGGGAAUAUUGGACAAUGGGCGAAAGCCUGAUCCAGCCAUGCCGCGUGUGUGAAGAAGGUCUUCGGAUUGUAAAGCACUUUAAGUUGGGAGGAAGGGCAGUAAGUUAAUACCUUGCUGUUUUGACGGUACCAAAAGAAUAAGCACCGGCUAACUUCGUG
This 484-nucleotide ribosomal RNA is filed under the name uncultured bacterium. Its description in RNAcentral is "partial 16S ribosomal RNA". It matches the Rfam family "Bacterial small subunit ribosomal RNA", at positions 30 to 507 of the family's 1533-position model. The record is from RNAcentral.